GUGUCACCUGCCCCCUGAGCGUUCUGGAGCGCCAAGCUUCGCGAUCUUUGCCUUCCGGACUCGCAGACCGGCUCAAAGCCUCCCCUCAGCCUCUGGCUCCGUGAUUGGCAGGCAGCUGACAGAAGAAAAGUUAAAAGGUUAUUUCUGAAGAAGAGUUUCCUUCAGUGCCCUAAAGACCAACUGGAUAGAAGGAGAGCGGAGCAGAGGCUUGGAAGCUUGGAUCCCUCCUCCUGCACUCCCUCCCGGCCCCGACUCCGGAACAAAACAAGCAAACAAUAAAGCAAACUUGUUGCUCUUUUGUCUCAAAGUUUUGUGAUCUAGGAUGUUGGGAAGGAACAAAGAAAUUCAGGCAUCUCUCCUGAGAAGAGAAAGGGAGUAGAAUGCUCCAUCAUGAUGCUAACCACAAGAAUUGACUUGACGGGACAGAAUCAAGGGGAAGAACGUCAGUGAAACUUCUGGUGACAAUCACCCACUUAGGAAAACAUAAAGUUUGGCAACCCUAUAUUGACUCCACCAUGCCUUGGGAAAGGCAGCCCGCAUCAGUGGCAGGAAAUAUUGGUGGAGCGAGCUGGGACUUGCAGGUGACCAAGAAGGGGGAUCCCGGAACCGGAAUUGUCUCCCUUGGCGUUCCGGAAGUAGAAGCAGAGUCAUUGCUGGGUGGCGCCAGCCCUCAGACUUGCCUCUUUGCAGUAGGAAGAAGGCCUCCCCACAUACCUUCCCACACUCAUCACCUUAAGCCAGACUCGGUGUCCAGUGAAUAUGACCAUCUCUUGCCCAUUUUCUAAUGAGUGUUUUCAUUAAUGAGUUAUAAGAAUGUGGUGGGUAAAUCUAUGGGCUUUGAACUAGUGAAUCAACUUGGUUUCAGAAUCUGGCACUGCUACUUACUAGUGAAUUUAAGCAAGUUAUUUCACCUUUCAGAGUGUCAGUUCCCUCAUGCAUACAAGGAAGAUAAAAAAUAAUGUAUACAAAAGUAUUGGAGUAAUUAAUACAUGGAGAACUACAUGUAAAGCGUUUAGCAUGAUGUCUGACAUAUUAAGCAUCCAAUAUUAGUUGCUUGCAGAAUUAUUAGUAAAAGAGAUUGCUUCUGAAAGCCAUUCCAAUUCUUAAAUUUUAUAAUGCCACAUUUGAGGUCACCUGAAGUACGUGUAUAACAUGUGUACAUUUUUGCGAUUUAUUUUUUCAAUUCCCAGAUUAGAGGCAUAGAGAUAUCCUAGCAAGGACUCCAAGUGUGUAGAUCUGUCAAAGAUAUGAACAUGAAAGAACAGCUUAUUUCAAUAAACCCACUUUACA
Homo sapiens (human) is the source of this 1290-nucleotide long non-coding RNA. Lineage: Eukaryota; Metazoa; Chordata; Mammalia; Primates; Hominidae. The record is from Ensembl.